GGCAGCAGUGGGGAAUCUUCGGCAAUGGGGGGAACCCUGACCGAGCGAUACCGCGUGAUGAGGAAAUACUUCGGUAUGUAAAGAUCUUUUACAAAGGAUGAAUGGCGUUAGGAGGAAAUGCCUAACGAGUGACAGUACUUUAGGAAUAAGCCCCGGCUAACUAUGUGCCAGCAGCCGCGGUAAUACAUAGGGGGCAAGCGUUAUCCGGAAUUAUUGGGCGUAAAGGGUGCGUAGGCGGCUACUUAAGUUUAUGGUCUAAAUUCAAGGCUCAACCUUGAAAUGCUUUAAAAACUGGGUGGCUUGAGAGAGGUAGAGGCAAGUGGAAUUCCAUGUGUAGCGGUAAAAUGCGUAAAUAUAUGGAGGAACACCAGUGGCGAAGGCGGCUUGCUGGGCCUUAUCUGACGCUGAUGCACGAAAGCGUGGGGAGCAAACAGGAUUAGAUACCCUGGUAGUCCACGCCGUAAACGAUGAGUACUAAGUGU
Molecule: ribosomal RNA, 482 nt
Filed under: uncultured Bacillota bacterium
Lineage: Bacteria; Bacillati; Bacillota
Description: bacterial SSU rRNA
Rfam family: Bacterial small subunit ribosomal RNA
Source: RNAcentral